UUGUGAUAGGGAAGGUAGUGACAUGGACUGUCAGAGGUGAUUUCUUCAGUGGGACACAUCGGGAGGUAGUGACCCGCCUGUUUCCAGCUCCAAUUCUUAGAUGUAAAAUUGUUGCAGUUAAAAAGCUCGUAGUUGAAUUUCUGCUGUAUUGCAUUUUCUCUUUUUAUAUGAGUUUUUGCAUUAUGGCUUAUUUCAGUAUUAAUUUUUUAUUAUUACUGGAUGUCUACUUUGAGAAAAUUAGAGUGCUCAAAGCAGGCUUUUGCCUUGAAUAGUUUAGCAUGGAAAAAUAAAGUAGGACUUUGGUUCUAUUUUGUUGGUUUUAGGUACCAAAGUAAUGGUUAAUAGGACCAGUUGGGGGCAUUCGUAUUUAACUGUCAGAAAGUGAAAUUCUUAGAA
Molecule: ribosomal RNA, 396 nt
Filed under: Theileria sp. OT3
Lineage: Eukaryota; Apicomplexa; Aconoidasida; Piroplasmida; Theileriidae
Description: bacterial SSU rRNA
Rfam family: Eukaryotic small subunit ribosomal RNA (bases 105-396)
Source: RNAcentral